Molecule: transfer RNA, 89 nt
Filed under: Meleagris gallopavo (turkey)
Lineage: Eukaryota; Metazoa; Chordata; Aves; Galliformes; Phasianidae
Rfam family: tRNA
About the family: Transfer RNA (tRNA) molecules are approximately 80 nucleotides in length.
Source: Rfam by way of RNAcentral
CCUUCGAUAGCUCAGCUGGUAGAGCGGAGGACUGUAGGCUGACUGUAAAAGAAAUCCUUAGGUCGCUGGUUCAAUUCCGGCUCGAAGGA